AUAAGGAAGUUGUGUUUUUGUAGAGGUCAACUUGUUGACUUUCACCAUCAGAGGGUCACCCUUCAUGAAAUCCUGCGGAGCAACACCUGGUAGAUAAAAACAUUGAGCUUCAAAUGAAAACAAACAUAUCAGCACAAAAACCGAGAUCCACCGGUGAUUCAACUGAGGCCUUACGACCUCCAUAGCUCUCUCUCUCACUGAGAUCUAGAUCCACACACACAGACACACCGUGAAAAUCAAAAUCCGAGAGCGGUAGAGUACAAACUCCG
Molecule: unclassified non-coding RNA, 269 nt
Filed under: Hevea brasiliensis (rubber tree)
Lineage: Eukaryota; Viridiplantae; Streptophyta; Magnoliopsida; Malpighiales; Euphorbiaceae
Source: RNAcentral